Molecule: ribosomal RNA, 472 nt
Filed under: uncultured bacterium
Lineage: Bacteria
Description: partial 16S ribosomal RNA
Rfam family: Bacterial small subunit ribosomal RNA
Source: RNAcentral
GACGAACGCUGGCGGCGUGCCUAACACAUGCAAGUCGAACGGGAGUAUUGAAGAAGCUUGCUUUAGAGAUACUUUAGUGGCGGACGGGUGAGUAACGCGUGAGGAGCUGUCCGAUGCAGGGGGACAACAGUUGGAAACGACUGCUAAUACCCCAUAAGCCGAGAGGUAAAAGGAUUUAUCCGGCAAUGGAGGUACUCGCGUCCUAUCAGCUAGUAGGUGAGGUAACGGCUCACCUAGGCGAAGACGGGUAGCCGGCCUGAGAGGGCGAACGGCCACACUGGAACUGAGAUACGGUCCAGACUCCUACGGGAGGCAGCAGUGGAGAAUAUUGGGCAAUGGGGGGAACCCUGACCCAGCGACGCCGCGUGGGUGAAGAAAUCCCUCGGGAUGUAAAGCCCUGUUGUAUGGGAAGAGCGGAAGACGGUACCAUACGAGGAAGCCCCGGCGAACUACGUGCCAGCCGCCGCAGAAA